GUCGAGCGAGAAAGUGGCUUCGGCCAUGAGUACAGCGGCGAACGGGUGAGUAACACGUGGAUAACCUACCCUGGAGUGGGGGAUAACUCGAGGAAACUUGGGCUAAUACCGCAUACGCUCCGAGAAUUGCGAUUCGAGGAGGAAAGCUGGCCACUACAUGUAAGCUGGCGCUUUUGGAUGGGUCCGCGUCUGAUUAGCUAGUUGGUGGGGUAAUGGCCUACCAAGGCGACGAUCAGUAGCCGGCCUGAGAGGGUGAUCGGCCACACUGGAACUGAGACACGGUCCAGACUCCUACGGGAGGCAGCAGUGGGGAAUAUUGGACAAUGGGCGCAAGCCUGAUCCAGCAACGCCGCGUGGAGGACGAAGGCUUUCGGGUCGUAAACUCCUGUCAGGUGGGAAGAAGGGUCGUCGAUGAAUAACCGGCGAUCUUGACGGUACCACCAGAGGAAGCCCCGGCUAACUCCGUGCCAGCAGCCGCGGUAAUACGGAGGGGGCAAGCGUUAUUCGGAAUUACUGGGCGUAAAGGGCGUGUAGGCGGCAUGGCAAGUCAAGGUGAAAGCCCUCGGCUCAACCGAGGAACUGCCUUUGAAACUGUCAAGCUAGAGACCGGGAGGGGGUGGCGGAAUU
Molecule: ribosomal RNA, 627 nt
Filed under: uncultured Acidobacteriota bacterium
Lineage: Bacteria; Pseudomonadati; Acidobacteriota
Description: bacterial SSU rRNA
Rfam family: Bacterial small subunit ribosomal RNA
Source: RNAcentral